AGCUUGCUCCCCGCUGACGAGCGGCGGACGGGUGAGUAAUGCAUAGGAAACUGCCCAGUAGUGGGGGAUAGCCCGGGGAAACCCGGAUUAAUACCGCAUACGCCCUUUGGGGGAAAGCAGGGGAUCUUCGGACCUUGCGCUAUUGGAUGUGCCUAUGUCGGAUUAGCUAGUUGGUGGGGUAAGAGCCUACCAAGGCGACGAUCCGUAGCUGGUCUGAGAGGAUGAUCAGCCACAUCGGGACUGAGACACGGCCCGAACUCCUACGGGAGGCAGCAGUGGGGAAUAUUGGACAAUGGGGGCAACCCUGAUCCAGCCAUGCCGCGUGUGUGAAGAAGGCUUUCGGGUUGUAAAGCACUUUCAGUGAGGAGGAAAACCUUACGACUAAUACUCGUGAGGCUUGACGUUACUCACAGAAGAAGCACCGGCUAACUCCGUGCCAGCAGCCGCGGUAAUACGGAGGGUGCAAGCGUUAAUCGGAAUUACUGGGCGUAAAGCGCGCGUAGGUGGUUUGAUAAGCGAGAUGUGAAAGCCCCGGGCUCAACCUGGGAACGGCAUUUCGAACUGUCAGGCUAGAGUAUGGUAGAGGAGUGUGGAAUUUCC
RNAcentral lists this ribosomal RNA (600 nucleotides) under Marinobacter sp. RNAcentral describes it as "bacterial SSU rRNA". It matches the Rfam family "Bacterial small subunit ribosomal RNA", at positions 77 to 671 of the family's 1533-position model. The record is from RNAcentral. Lineage: Bacteria; Pseudomonadati; Pseudomonadota; Gammaproteobacteria; Pseudomonadales; Marinobacteraceae.